AGUAGCUGGGGAAAAUGGCUGGCAGGGCUGCUUCGGAAAAAUUUAGGAGAUUAAGAGGAAAAGGAGACUGAACGGCGUCCUGUCCCACGCCCACGACCGAGGGAUUCGAAAAUUCGAUCUUGGUCGCCUGUGAUCGUCCAAAAAAACUAGAGUUGGGGCUGGAAGCGUCUCCAAGUCAUCAGAAGUAGGUUGCAAGAUUCCCGAAGGUGAAGGAGUCUGAGGUAUCCUGGAGGAAGUAAUAGCCUCAGAACGCCUCACAAGCUCCGUGUGGCUCUGUAAAAACCGAAUGGUGGACUCACCGCAAACAAGACAGGAGACUGAAAAGAGGACUCCAAAAUCUGAAGGAGGGAUGAAAGGAUCGUCAUCAAGGGUCCCUAGGAUUGUGCAGUACUCAGCUUCAAAUAAGACCCCAUGAGGCAUCGAAAAGCAGUAACAAAGGCAAACUAAAUGAUUAGACUCCAGUAUGCCAUCAGGAUAAUAUUCACAUUAUUUGGGCACAGUGAGCCCUUGAGACGCUUGAUUAAUUCUGAAGUGGA
This is a long non-coding RNA of Tupaia belangeri chinensis (Chinese tree shrew), 536 nucleotides long. RefSeq lists it as uncharacterized. The transcript is spliced from 3 exons. NCBI's taxonomy places the organism in Eukaryota, Metazoa, Chordata, Mammalia, Scandentia, Tupaiidae. The record is from RefSeq and is a predicted model, not a curated record.